Molecule: ribosomal RNA, 497 nt
Filed under: uncultured bacterium
Lineage: Bacteria
Description: partial 16S ribosomal RNA
Rfam family: Bacterial small subunit ribosomal RNA
Source: RNAcentral
GAUGAACGCUGGCGGCGUGCCUAAUACAUGCAAGUCGAGCGAACAGACCAGGAGCUUGCUCGUCGGUCGUUAGCGGCGGACGGGUGUGUAACAUGUGGAUAACCUCCCUAUAAGACUGGGAUAACCUCGGGAAACCGGCGCUAAUACCGGAUAAUCUAUUGAACCGCAGUGUUCAAUAGUGAAUGACGGCUUUUCUGUCACUUAUAGCUGCUUCCGCGCCGUAUUAGCUAGUUGGUAAGGUAACGGCUUACCAAGGCGACGAUGCGUAGCCGAACUGAGAGGGUGAUAGGCCACACUGGAAGUGAGACGGGGACCAGACGCCUGAGGGAGGCAGCAGAAGGGAAUGUGCCGCAGUGGGCGAAAGCAUGGCGGAACAACGGGGCGUGUGUUAUGGAGGUGUUGGGUUCGUAAAACUCUGUUAUUAGGUAAGAACAGAUGUGUACGGAGACAAGGACUUAGUGACGGUACCUAGUCAAAAAGCCCCGGCUAACUACGUG